AUUCACCCCACCUGAACUAGCAUGAACAUUUGAAGGGCAAUAAAAUAACAGAACAUAAAGCAACAGGCCAAAAUCAAAAUAAAACUAUCAGAGCUCAGUUGCGUCCAGUGGGUGUAGUAGGUUGCCGGGGCAUGCUGUCUGGCCAUUGCCUGAGGCCUCCAGGGGUACACUUACAGACUGAGCUGCUGUGUCUUCUGAUUGUGGUCAGCUCCUGUCUCCCACCAGUAGUAUAGAGCUUCAUGGUACCCCGCCGCAGGCCCGGCACUUACGCCCUUGGUUUCGGCGAUUUAUGGCCAACAACAGGAGUCCUGGGGGAGGUGAAAUGUUCAGGUGUAGGGCUGUGGUGUGAGGGUUUACCUCUGAGGGCUCCGUGCACAGGAAGGCAGCCGUGGGUGCCAAUUCCGAUCAGUGAGUUUGUGGGCAGGAGCUUCUGCGGGGAUUCGUCGUGUGUGAGUCAGGUACAGUAGGUUGAUUCAGGGCACAGGCGGAGGUGUCUGCAGGCAGGCGAAGUUGUCAGCAUUGGUUGCAUUGCCGCCAUUUUGCUCAGGCACAUAGUGCACCAUGCAGUG
Pelobates cultripes (western spadefoot toad) is the source of this 569-nucleotide non-coding RNA. The record is from the annotation of a GenBank genome assembly. Lineage: Eukaryota; Metazoa; Chordata; Amphibia; Anura; Pelobatidae.